Molecule: ribosomal RNA, 360 nt
Filed under: uncultured Glomeromycotina
Lineage: Eukaryota; Fungi; Glomeromycota
Description: LSU rRNA
Source: RNAcentral
UUGAAAGGGAAACGAUUGAAGUCAGUCGUACCUAUGGGUAAUCAGCCUUUUGGGUGUGAUUUUGUGGAGCGUGAUGAGUUAAACGCCUUCAUGCCUGCAUAUUCGUGCACUUUGGGUGUACUUGCCCGUGUGUAAGUUAACAUCAAUUUUGGUGGUCAUAAAAUGGCUGGAGGAAUGUAGCUUCGAUCUUGUAUUGAAGUGUUAUAGCCUUCGGUAGAUGUGACGAUCGGGAUUGAGGAUUGCAACGGAUACCCUUCGGGGCUACCUGUCUGAUCUCUGAUUGUUGCUCUGGUGCCGAAAGCUUGCUUACGGUUAUUAAAGUCGAUGAUCAAUAGGUUAGAAUGGGUUAAAUUCGUUAAG